Molecule: ribosomal RNA, 391 nt
Filed under: uncultured bacterium
Lineage: Bacteria
Description: bacterial SSU rRNA
Rfam family: Bacterial small subunit ribosomal RNA
Source: RNAcentral
AAUGAACGCUGGCGGCGCGCCUAAUACAUGCAAGUCGAGCGAGAAGACGUAGCAAUACGUUUGUAAAGCGGCGAACGGGUGAGGAAUACAUGGGUAACCUACCCUCGAGUGGGGAAUAACUAGCCGAAAGGUUAGCUAAUACCGCGUACGCUUCUUGGACUUCGGUUCAGGGAGGAAAGCGAUGCCGAGGGUAUCGCGCUCUUGGAUGGGCUCAUGUCCUAUCAGCUUGGGUGAGGUAACGGCUCACCAAGGCUUCGACGGGUAGCUGGUCUGAGAGGACGAUCAGCCACACUGGCACUGCGACACGGGCCAGACUCCUACGGGAGGCAGCAGUAAGGAAUAUUGCGCAAUGGGCGAAAGCCUGACGCAGCGACGCCGCGUGGGGGAUGAA